GACGAACGCUGGCGGCGUGCUUAACACAUGCAAGUCGAACGGAAAGGCCCUGCUUGCAGGGUACUCGAGUGGCGAACGGGUGAGUAACACGUGGGUGAUCUGCCCUGCACUUCGGGAUAAGCCUGGGAAACUGGGUCUAAUACCGGAUAGGAGCCAUUUUUAGUGUGAUGGUUGGAAAGUUUUUUCGGUGUAGGAUGAGCUCGCGGCCUAUCAGCUUGUUGGUGGGGUAAUGGCCUACCAAGGCGGCGACGGGUAGCCGGCCUGCGAGGGUGGACGGCCACAUUGGGACUGAGAUACGGCCCAGACUCCUACGGGAGGCAGCAGGGGGGAAUAUUGCACAAUGGGCGCAAGCCGGAUGCAGCGACGCCGCGUGGGGGAUGACGGCCUUCGGGUUGUAAACUCCUUUCGCUAGGGACGAAGCUUUUUGUGACGGUACCUAGAUAAGAAGCACCGGCUAACUACGUG
Molecule: ribosomal RNA, 465 nt
Filed under: uncultured bacterium
Lineage: Bacteria
Description: partial 16S ribosomal RNA
Rfam family: Bacterial small subunit ribosomal RNA
Source: RNAcentral